GGCCAUACCACUUUGAACGCGCCCAAUCUCGUCUGAUCUCGGAAGCUAAGCAGGGUUGGGCCUGGUUAGUACUUGGAUGGGAGAAAUACAGACUAAAACUUCUGAGGGCACAUCUAUGAAACUGGCCACC
Molecule: ribosomal RNA, 130 nt
Filed under: Castor canadensis (American beaver)
Lineage: Eukaryota; Metazoa; Chordata; Mammalia; Rodentia; Castoridae
Source: RNAcentral